Long non-coding RNA from Silurus meridionalis, 661 nucleotides. RefSeq lists it as uncharacterized. The transcript is spliced from 3 exons. The record is from RefSeq and is a predicted model, not a curated record. NCBI's taxonomy places the organism in Eukaryota, Metazoa, Chordata, Actinopteri, Siluriformes, Siluridae.
UAUUCCAGAAAGCAGGUUAUGUGACAUACCUGGGUAUGUUUAAGGGUAAGUUCGUGGAUAACCUCAACUUUCGGUUCCAAAAACGGAGGUAACUUUCUGGGGUUUCCAAAUGUAAUUGGGUGCAUUGAUGGCACUCACAUUCCUAUUAAAGCUCCACCAAUAAAUGAGGGAGACUGUGUUCAUAGGAAAUCUAUUCAUAGCAUCAAUGUGCAGGACAGUAAAAUGGUUUUUGCUGGGGGACAGAGGAUACCCUUGUCUGCCCUAUUUAAUGACACCCUACCCUGAACCUGAGCCUGGACCACAGACACGGUUUAACCUGCCUCACAGCCGAAUACGGGCCAAGGUGGAGAUGACUAUAGGGAUCCUCAAAUCUCAGUUUCAGAGUCUGCGUGGGCUCCGGGUUAGUCCAGAGAGGGCAUGCGACAUUAUAGUAGCGUGUGUUGUGCUUCACAAUAUUGCCACUAUAAGAGGAGAGAGCCACCCUCCUUGUAUUGAGGAAGAUGGCCCAGAGGAACACCUACAGAUUUUAGAGGCCAACAGAGACAGAAGACUUUUGAGAGACAGGGUCUGUCAAAAUCACUUUUAUUAAUUUUUUUCACUGGUCUGCCAGGCAGUUUAUUUCUUUAUUUCCUGAAAAACAAUAAAAUAAAAUUCAAUAAAA